GAUGAAGAACGCAGCGAAAUGCGAUACGUAAUGUGAAUUGCAGAAUUCAGUGAAUCAUCGAGUCUUUGAACGCACAUUGCGCCCCCUGGUAUUCCGGGGGGCAUGCCUGUCCGAGCGUCAUUGCUGCCCUCAAGCACGGCUUGUGUGUUGGGCCUCCGUCCUCCUCCCGGGGGACGGGCCCGAAAGGCAGCGGCGGCACCGCGUCCGGUCCUCGAGCGUAUGGGGCUUCGUCACCCGCUCUNGUNNNNNCGGCCGGCGCUUGCCGACACAUCAAUCUUUUUUCCAGGUUGACCUCGGAUCAGGUAGGGAUACCCGCUGAACUUAAGCAUAUCAAUAAGCGGAGGA
Molecule: unclassified non-coding RNA, 345 nt
Filed under: soil metagenome
Description: partial contains 5.8S ribosomal RNA, internal transcribed spacer 2, and large subunit ribosomal RNA
Rfam family: 5.8S ribosomal RNA (bases 1-120)
Source: RNAcentral